RNAcentral lists this ribosomal RNA (250 nucleotides) under uncultured bacterium. Its description in RNAcentral is "partial 16S ribosomal RNA". It matches the Rfam family "Bacterial small subunit ribosomal RNA", at positions 524 to 773 of the family's 1533-position model. The record is from RNAcentral.
GACGGAGGGGGCUAGCGUUAUUCGGAAUUACUGGGCGUAAAGGGCGCGUAGGCGGAUUAGUAAGUUGGGAGUGAAAGCCCGGGGCUCAACCUCGGAACUGCUUUCAAAACUGCUAGUCUUGAGUGAAGUAGGGGGUGAUGGAAUUCCUAGUGUAGAGGUGAAAUUCUUAGAUAUUAGGAGGAACACCGGUGGCGAAGGCGGUCACCUGGACUUCAACUGACGCUGAGGCGCGAAAGCGUGGGGAGCAAAC